UACGGAGGGUGCAAGCGUUAUCCGGAUUUAUUGGGUUUAAAGGGUCCGUAGGCGGAUCCGUAAGUCAGUGGUGAAAUCUCACAGCUUAACUGUGAAACUGCCAUUGAUACUGCGGGUCUUGAGUAAGGUAGAAGUGGCUGGAAUAAGUAGUGUAGCGGUGAAAUGCAUAGAUAUUACUUAGAACACCAAUUGCGAAGGCAGGUCACUAUGUCUUAACUGACGCUGAUGGACGAAAGCGUGGGGAGCGAACAGG
Molecule: ribosomal RNA, 253 nt
Filed under: uncultured bacterium
Lineage: Bacteria
Description: partial 16S ribosomal RNA
Rfam family: Bacterial small subunit ribosomal RNA
Source: RNAcentral